CUCUGUGACUCCUACGGGAGGCAGCAGUGGGGAAUAUUGCACAAUGGGCGCAAGCCUGAUGCAGCAACGCCGUGUGAGUGAAGAAGGUUUCGGAUCGUAAAACUCUGUCCUAAGGGAAGAAAAAAUGACGGUACCUUAGGAGGAAGCCCCGGCUAACUACGUGCCAGCAGCCGCGGUAAUACGUAGGGGGCAAGCGUUAUCCGGAAUCACUGGGCGUAAAGGGUGCGUAGGCGGCUUGACAAGCCAGGGGUGAAAGGCAUUGGCUCAACCAAUGUAAGCCUUUGGAACUGUUAAGCUUGAGUGCAGGAGAGGUAAGUGGAAUUCCUAGUGUAGAGGUGAAAUUCGUAGAUAUUAGGAGGAACACCAGUGGCGAAGGCGACUUACUGGACUGUAACUGACGCUGAUGCACGAAAGCGUGGGUAGCGAACAGGAUUAGAUACCCUGUAG
This 447-nucleotide ribosomal RNA is filed under the name uncultured bacterium. RNAcentral describes it as "bacterial SSU rRNA". It matches the Rfam family "Bacterial small subunit ribosomal RNA", at positions 328 to 793 of the family's 1533-position model. The record is from RNAcentral.